AUGUCAAGAGUAGGUAAGGUUCUUCGCGUUGCGUCGAAUUAAACCACAUGCUCCACCGCUUGUGCGGGCCCCCGUCAAUUCAUUUGAGUUUUAACCUUGCGGCCGUACUCCCCGGGCGGUCGACUUAACGCGUUAGCUCCGGAAGCCACGCCUCAAGGGCACAACCUCCAAGUCGACAUCGUUUACAGCGUGGACUACCAGGGUAUCUAAUCCUGUUUGCUCCCCACGCUUUCGCACCUGAGCGUCAGUCUUUGUCCAGGGGGCCGCCUUCGCCACCGGUAUUCCUCCAAAUCUCUACGCAUUUCACCGUUACACCUGGAAUUCUACCCCCCUCUACAAAACUCUAGCUUGCCAGUUUCAAAUGCAGUUCCCACGUUAAGCGCGGGGAUCUCACAUCUGACUUAACAAACCGCCUGCGUGCGCUUUACGCCCAGUAAUUCCGAUUAACGCUUGCACCCUCCGUAUUACCGCGGUUGCUGGCACGGAGUUAGC
This 492-nucleotide ribosomal RNA is filed under the name Serratia sp. Nj-28. RNAcentral's name for it is "partial 16S ribosomal RNA". Lineage: Bacteria; Pseudomonadati; Pseudomonadota; Gammaproteobacteria; Enterobacterales; Yersiniaceae. The record is from RNAcentral.